GACGAACGCUGGCGGCGUGCCUAAUACAUGCAAGUAGAACGCAGUUGCGAACGGGUGAGUAACGCGUAGGUAACUGCCUCAUAGCGGGGGAUAACUAUUGGAAACGAUAGCUAAUACCGCAUACAGUGAGAUGGACCUGCGUUGUAUUAGCUAGUUGGUGAGGUAAAGGCUCACCAAGGCGACGAUGCAUAGCCGUCCUGAGAGGGUGAUCGGCCCCACGGCGACUGAGACACGGCCCAUACUCCUACGGGAGGCAGCAGUAGGGAAUCUUCGGCAAUUGACGAUGGUCUGACCGGGCAACCCCGCGUGGGUGAAGAAGGUUUUCGAAUCGUAAAUCUCUGUUGUUAGAGACGCGGUAUCUAACCAGAAAGCCACGGCUAACUACGUGCCAGCAGCCGCGGUAAUAC
RNAcentral lists this ribosomal RNA (407 nucleotides) under uncultured bacterium. RNAcentral describes it as "partial 16S ribosomal RNA". It matches the Rfam family "Bacterial small subunit ribosomal RNA", at positions 28 to 526 of the family's 1533-position model. The record is from RNAcentral.